Long non-coding RNA from Daphnia pulicaria, 1151 nucleotides. RefSeq lists it as uncharacterized. NCBI's taxonomy places the organism in Eukaryota, Metazoa, Arthropoda, Branchiopoda, Diplostraca, Daphniidae. The transcript is spliced from 6 exons. The record is from RefSeq and is a predicted model, not a curated record.
UUAGUCGUUAAGCCCAGCCGGUUAUAAUGCUGAAGCUGAACAGUGAACAUUUUAUAUUCACACUUCACAGUCGAACUUUUGCCGCUUUGGCUGAUUGGCUCUUAGCAGGGAUGCCAGAUGCGGACGUUUUAAUUGCAAAACUAAAAAUGGCAAUGUUGCGCUGUGCGCGUUACUUUCAAGAUGGCUGCUGACAGUCUAACAGCCUCGGCGACCGAAGUCAACUCAACUUAUUUUCCCUGACAUUACUCGUCAUAAAAAUUAUAAUAUAGCCUAAAAUUUAUAGUUGGCAAUUCCAUAUGAUUAUGUGGCCUGAAACUGCUGUAUAUUUUCCCAAAAUGUCGUCUCUUGCUGCACGUCCCGGCUGUGCGUUUCGUCACAUGUAGAGAUACUUCACAACAUUAAAAGUGAUCAUGUUGGUCUAACCCUAAGCAUGGUGAAGUCUGAGCUUCUUCAUUGCAGUCCCAUGUGCUGUACUGUGCAAUUUGUUGCAGCCAGCUGGCGAAAGGUGUUCCUCUUACAGGUUUGCUACCUGUACCAUUUGUAACUUUCGUCAAAUUCAGAAACACUUCCAAACAAUUUAAAGUAAUUGAGUUGAUCAACUUUUUUACAGAUUAGCAGCCUCUUGAGGUCUGAGCCUCUUUGUUGCAGUCUGAUGUGUACAUGAAUUUUGUGCAGCCAGCUAGUAAACGGCGUGGUGAGCUGUUGCAUGGAGACUGUGGUGUUGGUGACUUGGUGUCGUUCGUUCAUUUAACUAUGGACCGUCCAGUCGUUCGUUUAUCGUAAGAAAUCUGUCACUUGUCGUAGAUUUCCAUGGUCAGUUUUAUGUUUGAGCUGUUUAUGGUGUUGCUGUAUGGGAUACAGUGGUUUUGCAGACCUUUUCCAGUUGAGAGAUGCGCUGAAAUGGUGGAACUUGUGCAGACCUCCAGUUGAACAUCAUACUUUAAUGAGUCAUUUGCCUAUGUUGGUGUUCAUGCAGUAUAUGCAGCGUUAUGCAACAUUUUGGCAGCAUUUUGUCGACAUGUUGCCUCUUGCUACCUGUACCGCUGUUGAGUUGAUUCGUUUGCCGCCGUUCGUUAGACUCGAUCCACCGGUGAAACUAAGAAGACGUUGCUGAAAUUCAAGAUUGAUCAAUAAAUUAUAUAGAUAAAUUA